AUUCUACUCCCUCCAUUGCACAAUACAUGCCUUCUAUUUGUCAAAAUAUAUAUGUAUCUAGACAUGUUUUAGUAUAUAGGUACAUCCAUUUUUGGACAAAUGGAAGUCAGAUAUUUUGGAACGGAGGGAGUACACA
Non-coding RNA from Triticum aestivum (bread wheat), 136 nucleotides. Lineage: Eukaryota; Viridiplantae; Streptophyta; Magnoliopsida; Poales; Poaceae. The record is from Rfam.